RNAcentral lists this small RNA (628 nucleotides) under Pan troglodytes (chimpanzee). RNAcentral's name for it is "retained intron". Lineage: Eukaryota; Metazoa; Chordata; Mammalia; Primates; Hominidae. The record is from RNAcentral.
AUUUAUUUAGUUGUCCGUGUUUCCUCCAUUGAUUUAAAAAUCUAACCUUUAUCAUGUAUUAAGUAUAAUUUUUGUGUAUUUUUCUUUUCCAGUAACCUCUGUAUUCUAUUGAUUUUUCAUAUCUAGGAACAUUUCCAAGUUUUUUUGUCAGUAAAUUUAAAAAGUUUUAAAAAUAAUAUGUCCUGUGUAAAUCUUAAUAAGGAUGUUCAUAAUUAUUAGUCACUAGCUUUGUGAAAUUCCUAAAUUUUAGAUGGUAUUGCAUGAAAUAAAAAAUAAUUAUUUUAUCAACUUUGUUAAUACAUGAGUUAUGUUUUUAUAAUAAUUCUGUAGCACUGGAGUAUAAAUGUAUUCUAAUGACUUAUAAAAUCUGUAUCUUUUUUGCUAGACUACACUUGCUGCUUUGAAGGAUGAAGUUGUAUCUGUUGAAAAUGAACUCUCAGAAUUGCAAGAAGUAGAAAAAAAACAGAAAACCCUUAUUGAAAUGUAUAAAACUCAGGUACAAAAGUUGCAAGAAGCAGCUGAAAUAGUAAAAAGCAGGUGUGAAAAUUUGCUACAUAAAAAUAACCAAAUAACAAAAACCAAAAAUAAAAAUGUAGAGAAGAUGAGAGGCCAGAUGGAGUCUCAUCUG